This 1445-nucleotide long non-coding RNA is filed under the name Homo sapiens (human). Its description in RNAcentral is "HSALNT0156894". Lineage: Eukaryota; Metazoa; Chordata; Mammalia; Primates; Hominidae. The record is from RNAcentral.
GUGCCUGGGAUCAGAAGCCAGGCUCUGAUUGAGGUCAGAGGUCACCCCGUGGCUGGGAUGGGAACUCAUUCUGUGCCUGGGUCAGGGCUCAGGCUAUGGCUGGGAGCAGAGUUUAGUUUGUAGCUGGGAUCAGGGGUCAGUCUAUGCUUUUGACCAGGGCUCAGCUUAGUCUGGGAUCAAGGGUCAAUUUGGGCUGGUGAUGGGGGCUCAGUCUGUGACCAGGGUGAGGGGUCGACCUAUAGGUGGCCUCAGGGGUUAGUCUGCGGCUGGGGUAAGGACUUGGUGUAUGGCUGGGAUGAGGGUUCAGUGUGUGACUGGGAUCAGAGGCCAGCCUGUAGCUGGGAUUAGGGAUGAGUCCAUAGCUGGAGUAGACACGCAGACUGUGUCUGUCAAGACUUAAUCUGUAGCUCGGAUCAGGGCUCAGACUGUAGCUGAGAUUAAGGAUCAGACCAGGGCAGGGGCUGGAGUUCAACCUGGUCUGGACAGUCUCUGCCCCUGCCCCGGCCGCCCAUUUUUCCCCAGCUGUCCUGGGUCAAGUUGCUGCAGCUGAACUUUGCUUCCUCUUUGGAUCAGAGCGUUCUUGGCCAGCACCCAGCAGCUGAUUCCCCAGGGGAGAGGCCCCGUUCCCGCCAGCCACAUUCCCACGCCGGCCUGGGAGGCUGCCAGAGAGUGGCUGGGUGUCGGGGGCUGCCUCCCAGGGGACCUGCCUCUCACCCUGCCCAGCUCUGAGGACAGCACGAGAUUCCUGCAGAUGGAGCUCCUAACCUGUCGCCCUGCAGGCACUGUGUGUUUGGACAGCUGGAAGCAGAGCUCGGCCUGUGACCUGCCUGGUCCAGCAACUGGACCUUCUGGAGAGUCACAGUGAGACACACAGCCACAUCCUGUAAAUGAAGACCUCGUGGCUCAGAGAGGUCAGUAAGCCAGAGAAAAGAAAAUGCCAUUCGGAAAAUCCUAAGGAAGAGAGGAUGCAUUUCCUCGUCUCCACGUGGAAGCGGAUCACCCUAAAGGUCUUCAUCCUGGUCUUUUUCAUGCUGAGGAGGCUGGGGAGGAGAAGGAAGAGGAGGGGCUGGUCUUGCUGACCCAGGAGCAGCAGAGAAAGGAGAAAAUCCACGUGCAGGUGAGCCCAAAGUUCAAACCCGCGUUUUUCCGGGGUCGGCCGUAAUUCACGCUCCAUGAAUUUCUCCACCGACAGUGGCGAUUCCACCAUCUCCAGCACGUUCAGCUACGUGCGGCCGUCACCACCGUCCAUUCAGGACAUUUUCUUUUUUCUUUUUCGGACGGAGUCUCGUUCUGUCGCCCAGGCUGGAGUGCAGUGGCGCGAUCUCGGUUCAGUGCAAUCUCUGCCUCCCGGGUUCAAGCAAUUCUCCUGCCUCAGCCUCCCGAGUAGCCGGGAUUACAGGCACGUGCUACCACCACGCCCAGCUAAUUUUUGUAUUUCUAGUGGA